UACGUAGGGGGCAAGCGUUAUCCGGAAUCACUGGGCGUAAAGGGUGCGUAGGUGGCUCAUCAAGCCAGAGGUGAAAGGCAUUGGCUCAACCAAUGUAAGCCUUUGGAACUGACGAGCUUGAGUGCAGGAGAGGUAAGUGGAAUUCCUAGUGUAGAGGUGAAAUUCGUAGAUAUUAGGAGGAACACCAGUGGCGAAGGCGACUUACUGGACUGUAACUGACACUGAGGCACGAAAGCGUGGGGAGCGAACA
RNAcentral lists this ribosomal RNA (250 nucleotides) under uncultured bacterium. RNAcentral's name for it is "partial 16S ribosomal RNA". It matches the Rfam family "Bacterial small subunit ribosomal RNA", at positions 524 to 774 of the family's 1533-position model. The record is from RNAcentral.